Kogia breviceps (pygmy sperm whale) is the source of this 2133-nucleotide non-coding RNA. The record is from RefSeq and is a predicted model, not a curated record. NCBI's taxonomy places the organism in Eukaryota, Metazoa, Chordata, Mammalia, Artiodactyla, Physeteridae.
GAAAAUUUCUUUUAAACUAUUUGGAUGAAACUUUUCUCAAAUGUGUUCCCCAUUUAUGACUUAAAUAGAAGUUCCUGAAACUCUCAGAACUUUGGCAUUAAAGGGACUCCAAGGUCAGCCCAUUCAAACCCUUUCCAUAGGUGAUGCAGAUAAGGUCCAGAGAAGGGAAAUAAUAUGGCCUCACAGGCACACAGCUGGUUGGGGUGACAGAAGUGGGAUUAGAGGCCUGGUCCUUCCUUUGCACCGGCUGAUUCUCCCAAUAUAAGCUUUUGCUGAUGCCAGGGCAUCAUGGUGACAGAAACAUUGGUUGGUGGGUUAAGUGUCCCAUCAGGCAAUGACACUAAGACCAUCUGCUCCUGUCCCAACAGAUCAGGUGGACUAGACUUCUGGGAAACAGGACGGGUACUGCAGUGGCUUUCUGAACUUUCCUUAGUAGCCACAGACAAAAUCUCCUGUGAACGCUAGUGUGAAAGAUAGAUCUCAGAAGACUGGGUCUGGGGAGUUCCAUGGACCCCAGAGGCUCUGGGCAGCCCCGCUGAAAACCACUGGUCAAGGAAACUAGACCUGCACACAGGGCCCAGAAGGCCUGGACUCAUCCGGUCUUCUCAUCUAGGAAAUGGCUGCUUCCUCACAGCACCCCCAGGAGGCUAAACAGAGUAACCAGUGUGAGCAGAAUUUGCAAAUUGGGAAUAUACAUAAAACAUACAUGCAUCUUUCUUUAAUCUAUAUUUUUGUAUGUCCUUCCGCUGCCUGGCUGUAUGCCAUCCCUCCCCACUGCUGUUGGGAGUCUGUCUGCUCCCCUGCUAAGGUGCUGCUUUGAAUCUGCCCUGGGCUGGGAAGCAACAGUCCCUGCCUUUCAGAUCUUCGGUGCCAUGAGCCCCCUGCUGGCUCUGGUGGUUGGCGGUGCAGGAGCCGUGAGAGCAUUUGGGAGCCUGAGGGCACGGAAAGAGCGCACCGACUGGAUCUGGAUCUGAGACCCAGGCGGCAAUGACUGUCUCCAAGCCUCGUUUCCUCUUCUGUGAAAUGGGGGCACGUUAUACCAGCCUCCGGGGUACAUAAGUUGCCCGGGAAAACACGUGUUCUGAGGAAUGGAGACUGCAACCCACCAUGCACUCUUCCGUCAGAAACCUCCCAGGCUCCCUGCAGCCACAGAAUGAAGUUGGAAUUCCUACUCCAGCUACCAUCAAGGCCUCCCUCCACAGGUGACCCGGCCCCAGCUUUGUCUGGAUAUGUUCCCCUUUUCCUCCUCAGGGCUCCUGGGCUGCAGCCAAACGUGAUCCAGUUGAUGCCCAGCUAACAAACAAAAUAGGAAUAUUGACGCUUUCCUGCUCUGAGCUUGCACUGCUUCUGCUGGAAGGGCCACCCCCAUCUUCCUGCUCCAGCAAGGCCACCUGAGGAAGCCCUCAUCCAUCCCACCUCCUGGCUGCCUCAGGUGGAGCAUGUGCGCCCUCUGUGAACUCAGAGCCUAGGGGCUUUCUCUGAAGGCCCUGUCCCCUCCUUCCUUUAGUAUGCCUACUCAUCUCCCCUCUUGAACUCCCUGUGGACAGUGGGCCUGUCUUUGAUUCUCUGUGUUCCAGGGCUCAGAACAUUCUGUCAGGCUCAACAAGUGACUGAACAAGUAGUUUCCCAUUUAGGAGAGCCCUAGUCAGAGGUAUGGAUAAACAAGGGGCAGCUUAGAAGUGUCCCUCAGAGCUGGGAAAGGCACUGAACGACACUCAGUCUAGCAUCUGCUGAGGGCGGAGCCCCUCCGUUGCCUCCCCAGCAAUGAGACGGAUCUACACAAGACUAGCCUUCAGGAGACAUGUUCACCCCUGACCUGGAACCUGAGGGGCCCAUCACUCGAGGGCAGUAUUCUCCUCAAGACAGGCAUGAGGUGGCUUGAUCUUGAGUCAUAGACAACAGGGAGAAUUGGGUGGAAAAGGGGCACUGAACUAGGAGUCCUGAGGCUUGGAUUCCAUUUCACCAACUCAUUUGGCUUCUUAAGAAAACCAUGGGGGGAAUUCCUUGGUGGUCCAGUGGUUAAGACUUGGCGCUCUCACUGCCGAGGCCCCAGGUUCAAUCCCUGGUUGGGGAACUAAAAUCCCAUAAGCCAUGAGGUGUGGCAAAAAAAAAAAAAAAAAAAAAGAAAGAAAA